AGCAUGAAGGGCACUGAUAUGGCUUCUCACCUGUGUGGACGCGCAGGUGUUGCUUAAGGUUGUACUUUGCUGAGAAGCUCCGAGAGCAUGAAGGGCACUGAAAUAGCUUCUCCUGUGUGUGGGUGCGCAGGUGUCUCUUGAGGCUCUUCUCAACUGAGUAGCUCCGAGA
This 169-nucleotide long non-coding RNA is filed under the name Dermacentor andersoni. RNAcentral describes it as "uncharacterized LOC126538785". The record is from RNAcentral. Lineage: Eukaryota; Metazoa; Arthropoda; Arachnida; Ixodida; Ixodidae.